CCGCUCGAGGCCUAGUUCUCUGUGUGCUACCGUGAUAGAACCAAGCCCAGCUCUUGACAUCGGGAGAAAGGACUGCUCAACUUUCUCAGAAAUCAGCAUUUCCCCUAACUGUUUCACUGAUCAGAAAGUAAUGUACCCUGGCCUAGUAACAAUGAGAUCCCAGGUGAGUAGGAGUUUCUUCUUAGUCUCCAGAAAUGCCAUCUUAUGGCAGGAAUGUUUUCUGUUAUCCUGGAAGUAUUGUUUAGGUACCUAAGGCCCAGCUGUUUUGCCCCCAGGAGACAGAGAGUGUUCUUAACUUAAUAACACCAUUUCAC
This 314-nucleotide long non-coding RNA is filed under the name Vombatus ursinus (common wombat). RNAcentral's name for it is "lncRNA (ENSVURG00010017942.1)". Lineage: Eukaryota; Metazoa; Chordata; Mammalia; Diprotodontia; Vombatidae. The record is from RNAcentral.